GAAAUGCGAUAAGUAGUGUGAAUUGCAGAAUUCAGUGAAUCAUCGAAUCUUUGAACGCACAUUGCGCCCCUUGGUAUUCCAUGGGGCAUGCCUGUUCGAGCGCCAUUUGUACCCUCAAGCUCUGCUUGGUGUUGGGUGUUUGUCCCGUCUCCGCGCGUGGACUCGCCCCAAAGUGAUUGGCAGCCGGCGUACUGGUCCCGGAGCGCAGCACAUGUCGCGCAAACGAGUGCCUUGGUACGGCGGCGUCCAUAAGCCCCUCUCUCACGCUCUUGACCUCGGAUCAGGUAGGGAUACCCGCUGAACUUAAGC
RNAcentral lists this unclassified non-coding RNA (309 nucleotides) under plant metagenome. RNAcentral's name for it is "partial contains 5.8S ribosomal RNA, internal transcribed spacer 2, and large subunit ribosomal RNA". The stretch from base 1 to 105 matches the Rfam family "5.8S ribosomal RNA", at positions 50 to 154 of the family's 154-position model. The record is from RNAcentral.